This 497-nucleotide long non-coding RNA is filed under the name Lactuca sativa (garden lettuce). RNAcentral describes it as "long non-coding RNA (LSAT_LNC009069)". The record is from RNAcentral. Lineage: Eukaryota; Viridiplantae; Streptophyta; Magnoliopsida; Asterales; Asteraceae.
GGGUGGAAUACAAGUAAAACACACGAUUAUUAUCGUGUGUUAUAUAAAGUUUCAUUAUACACUUUUUAUGAACGGAAUCAUAUGUGAUUUCUAACUAUUAUAAGGAAACUUUCAUAUGCAAAAUAUACUAUAAGUAUAUUUGUCCAUCUUUUGAAAUGAAAAAAUGUUGUUAUAUAUAUAUAAAUCAAAACCUUGCUUAUAUUGUAAGUAUAUGUGUCCAUCUUAGGCACUACAAAAAUUACACUUUUCAUAACAAGUGAGCGUUUCACUAGGGAUUACUAUACCAACAAGACACACUUUUAGAAAACUAUAAUAGUUAUAGUUUUACGAGAACAUUACGAACUUUUACAUACUAGGAAUACCAUUUCAAGGAGAUACAUUCAUAUACAAGAACAAACGAACGUUUUCAUGUGUACUUCAAAUAGUUUUCUCAAACGUUUUUACAUGUUGAAAUACUUUUAGAAACUGUCUUACAAACUAUAGGUUUCCUUUUUGAA